Molecule: ribosomal RNA, 448 nt
Filed under: uncultured bacterium
Lineage: Bacteria
Description: partial 16S ribosomal RNA
Rfam family: Bacterial small subunit ribosomal RNA
Source: RNAcentral
CCUACGGGGGGCUGCAGUUUCGAAUCAUUCACAAUGGGCGAAAGCCUGAUGGUGCGACGCCGCGUGAGGGAUGAAGGUCUUCGGAUUGUAAACCUCUGUCACUGGGGAGAAAACGCUUUGAGUUAAUAGUUCAAAGCCUGAUUUAACCCGGAGAGGAAGCAGUGGCUAACUCUGUGCCAGCAGCCGCGGUAAUACAGACGGUGCAAGCGGUCUUCGGAGGCACGCGGGCGGUUGGGUGCGUCAGCUGUGGAAUCCCGAGGCUUAACCUCGGAACUGCGUCUGAAACUACUCGACUAGAGUACUGGAGAGGGAAACGGAAUUCACGGUGUAGCAGUGAAAUGCGUAGAUAUCGUGAGGAACACCAGAGGCGAAGGCGGUUUCCUGGACAGUUACUGACGCUCAGGCACGAAAGCAUGGGGAGCAAAAGGGAUUAGAUACCCCUGUAGUC